RNAcentral lists this ribosomal RNA (433 nucleotides) under uncultured bacterium. RNAcentral's name for it is "partial 16S ribosomal RNA". It matches the Rfam family "Bacterial small subunit ribosomal RNA", at positions 29 to 507 of the family's 1533-position model. The record is from RNAcentral.
AACGAACGCUGGCGGCAUGCCUAACACAUGCAAGUCGAACGAGACCUUCGGGUCUAGUGGCGCACGGGGGCGUAACGCGUGGGAACCUGCCCUUAGGUUCGGCAUAACUCCCCGAAAGGGGUGCUAAUACCGGAUAAUGUCUUCGGACCAAAGAUUUAUCGCCGUUGGAUGGGCCCGCGUUGGAUUAGCUAGUUGGUAGGGUAAAAGCCUACCAAGGCGACGAUCCAUAGAUGGUCUGAGAGGAUGAUCAGCCACACUGGGACUGAGACACGGCCCAGACUCCUACGGGAGGCAGCAGUGGGGAAUAUUGGACAAUGGGCGAAAGCCUGAUCCAGCAAGGCCGCGUGAGUGAUGAAGGCCUUAGGGUUGUAAAGCUCUUUUACCCGGGAUGAUAAUGACAGUACCGGGAGAAUAAGCGCCGGCUAACUACGUG